Molecule: ribosomal RNA, 313 nt
Filed under: uncultured soil bacterium
Lineage: Bacteria
Description: bacterial SSU rRNA
Rfam family: Bacterial small subunit ribosomal RNA
Source: RNAcentral
AGAACGAACGCUGGCGGCAUGCCUAAUACAUGCGAGUCGAACGAACUCUUCGGAGUUAGUGGCGCACGGGUGCGUAACGCGUGGGAAUCUGCCCCUUGGCUCGGAAUAACAGUUGGAAACGACUGCUAAUACCGGAUGAUGACGAAAGUCCAAAGAUUUAUCGCCAAGGGAUGAGCCCGCGUAGGAUUAGCUAGUUGGUGAGGUAAAGGCUCACCAAGGCAACGAUCCUUAGCUGGUCUGAGAGGAUGAUCAGCCACACUGGGACUGAGACACGGCCCAGACCUCCGUACGGGAGCAGCAGUAGGAUAUGGAC